AUGGGGUACAAGUGGAAAAGCUUUAUUUCAUAUCGGGUCAAAUUUGAUGUGCUGAUGACUGACCAUUGACCCUUAUUUUCCUCAUGACGAGACUUUUAUUCGAAACUAAAAACGACACUCAGCCCUAACAAGACACUAAGGGGGCCAAGAUACACAGGAACGCAAUAGCCUAAAUUAGGAGUGUUCAAAAAUCGCGCAACUCGCAGCUCACUCAAAGCACAUUCAGAAAAAGCUUGAAAAAAGUGCUAGCUCUCGGUUGCUACUUCUCGUUUAGUGGGAAUUUGCAACUGCUUCAAGUGUUAUAUGCUAAGAGGCAAACGAGUUUUCUUAGGGAAACUAGAAAUAUGUUUGCUACGAAGCCUCUGCCGCCAUCUAACUGUCUUAGUUAGUUCGUUCGUUGUUAGGCCGGAGGGUGUGGAGGUGCCACCGCGGCCACCUCAUCUCCCAUAGCGCCUUGAGGGCGCCACCACCCACACCGCUGUCUUCAAGGGGGGGGGGGGGGGGGGGCAUGGUGGCUUUAUCAAAAUGGUAACGAAGACUGAAGGGCUUUAUCGAUGAAGGAUUGGUUAAAUGGGGGGGGGGGGAGGGGGUGGGGCGCUAUAACUUGAAGGGGCUUUAUCCCACACCCUUCAAGGUAAGGGGAGAGGCCUUAAAGCCUCUGUGUGACGUGGCGUUGAUAAAGCCUCUCCCACACCCUCCAGCCUUACAACCAAGGAUGCUACAAGAAAUCAUCUUCCAAAGACCAUCGGCUUGUAUAAACUUUUUUUAUACAUAAUUAUAUAUUAUGUUUAUCAUAGUUCGUUUUUUUUUUUUUUUAAUAACUAAAAUGAUGUAAUUCAUUAUCAUUGAUUCAUACUUGCUAAGUUAUAUCAAAACAGAAGGUAGACGGACAACAAGCUGCGCUGACACCCCUUUCUGAAUUGCAAACCUUGAUCUACCAAAGAUGGUAUUCGACUACUUUUAUGUAUAAAAUAAUAUACUACAUCCGUCCCAUUAAAAGCGUCUUAUUUUGAAUUUUCAAAGUCUUUAUUUAUAAACUUU
RNAcentral lists this long non-coding RNA (1041 nucleotides) under Helianthus annuus (common sunflower). RNAcentral's name for it is "hypothetical non coding rna". Lineage: Eukaryota; Viridiplantae; Streptophyta; Magnoliopsida; Asterales; Asteraceae. The record is from RNAcentral.